Molecule: transfer RNA, 72 nt
Filed under: Podarcis lilfordi (Lilford's wall lizard)
Lineage: Eukaryota; Metazoa; Chordata; Lepidosauria; Squamata; Lacertidae
Description: tRNA.Arg
Rfam family: tRNA (bases 8-64)
About the family: Transfer RNA (tRNA) molecules are approximately 80 nucleotides in length. Their secondary structure includes four short double-helical elements and three loops (D, anti-codon, and T loops).
Source: RNAcentral
GCCUCUGAGCUCAGUUGGUGGAGCAUGAGACUCCUGAUCUCAGGGUUGUGGGUUCGAGCCCCACGUUGGGCA